GACGAACGCUGGCGGCGUGCUUAACACAUGCAAGUCGAACGGAAAGGCCCUGCUUUUGUGGGGUGCUCGAGUGGCGAACGGGUGAGUAACAUGUGAGUAACCUGCCCUUGACUUUGGGAUAACUUCAGGAAACUGGGGCUAAUACCGGAUAGGAGCUCCUGCUGCAUGGUGGGGGUUGGAAAGUUUCGGCGGUUGGGGAUGGACUCGCGGCUUAUCAGCUUGUGGGUGGGGUAGUGGCUUACCAAGGCUUUGACGGGUAGCCGGCCUGAGAGGGUGACCGGCCACAUUAGGACUGAGAUACGGCCCAGACUCCUACGGGAGGCAGCAGUGGGGAAUAUUGCACAAUGGGCGGAAGCCUGAUGCAGCAACGCCGCGUGCGGGAUGACGGCCUUCGGGUUGUAAACCGCUUUCGCCUGUGACGAAGCGUGAGUGACGGUAAUGGGUAAAGAAGCACCGGCUAACUACGUG
RNAcentral lists this ribosomal RNA (468 nucleotides) under uncultured bacterium. Its description in RNAcentral is "partial 16S ribosomal RNA". It matches the Rfam family "Bacterial small subunit ribosomal RNA", at positions 28 to 507 of the family's 1533-position model. The record is from RNAcentral.